GACGAACGCUGGCGGCGUGCUUAACACAUGCAAGUCGAACGGUGAACCGGGCUUCGGCCCGGGGAUCAGUGGCGAACGGGUGCGUAACACGUGGGCAACCUGCCCCAGACACUGGGAUAACUCCGGGAAACCGGGGCUAAUACCGGAUACUCUCAGCCGACCGCAUGACCGGCUGAGGAAAGCUCCGGCGGUCUGGGAUGGGCCCGCGGCCUAUCAACUUGUUGGUGGGGUAACGGCCUACCAAGGCGACGACGGGUAGCUGGUCUGAGAGGACGGCCAGCCACACUGGGACUGAGACACGGCCCAGACUCCUACGGGAGGCAGCAGUGGGGAAUUUUGCGCAAUGGACGAAAGUCUGACGCAGCAACGCCGCGUGAGGGAUGACGGCCUUCGGGUUGUAAACCGUCUUUGUUCAGGGAAGAUGAUGACGGUACCUGACGAAUAAGUCACGGCUAACU
This 458-nucleotide ribosomal RNA is filed under the name uncultured bacterium. Its description in RNAcentral is "bacterial SSU rRNA". It matches the Rfam family "Bacterial small subunit ribosomal RNA", at positions 28 to 502 of the family's 1533-position model. The record is from RNAcentral.